AACGAACGCUGGCGGCAUGCCUAACACAUGCAAGUCGAACGAGACCUUCGGGUCUAGUGGCGCACGGGUGCGUAACGCGUGGGAACCUGCCCUUAGGUUCGGAAUAACUCCCCGAAAGGGGUGCUAAUACCGGAUAAUGUCUUCGGACCAAAGAUUUAUCGCCUUUGGAUGGGCCCGCGUUGGAUUAGCUAGUUGGUAGGGUAAAAGCCUACCAAGGCGACGAUCCAUAGCUGGUCUGAGAGGAUGAUCAGCCACACUGGGACUGAGACACGGCCCAGACUCCUACGGGAAGCAGCAGUGGGGAAUAUUGGACAAUGGGCGAAAGCCUGAUCCAGCAAUGCCGCGUGAGUGAUGAAGGCCUUAGGGUUGUUAAGCUCUUUUACCCGGGAUGAUAAUGACAGUACCGGGAGAAUAAGCGCCGGCUAACUCCGUG
This 433-nucleotide ribosomal RNA is filed under the name uncultured bacterium. RNAcentral describes it as "partial 16S ribosomal RNA". It matches the Rfam family "Bacterial small subunit ribosomal RNA", at positions 29 to 507 of the family's 1533-position model. The record is from RNAcentral.